AGCGAACGCCGGCGGCAGGCCUAACACAUGCAAGUCGAACGAACUCUUCGGAGUUAGUGGCGGACGGGUGAGUAACACGUGGGAACGUGCCUUUUGGUUCGGAAUAACUCAGGGAAACUUGUGCUAAUACCGAAUGUGCCCUUCGGGGGAAAGAUUUAUCGCCAUUAGAGCGGCCCGCGUCUGAUUAGCUAGUUGGUGAGGUAACGGCUCACCAAGGCGACGAUCAGUAGCUGGUCUGAGAGGAUGACCAGCCACACUGGGACUGAGACACGGCCCAGACUCCUACGGGAGGCAGCAGUGGGGAAUCUUGCGCAAUGGGCGAAAGCCUGACGCAGCCAUGCCGCGUGAAUGAUGAAGGUCUUAGGAUUGUAAAAUUCUUUCACCGGGGACGAUAAUGACGGUACCCGGAGAAGAAGCCCCGGCUAACUUCGUG
This 433-nucleotide ribosomal RNA is filed under the name uncultured bacterium. Its description in RNAcentral is "partial 16S ribosomal RNA". It matches the Rfam family "Bacterial small subunit ribosomal RNA", at positions 29 to 507 of the family's 1533-position model. The record is from RNAcentral.